CCUACGGGUGGCAGCAGUGAGGAAUAUUGGUCAAUGGCCGGAAGGCUGAACCAGCCAUGCCGCGUGAAGGUCAGUGCCCUAUGGGCGUUAAACUUCUUUUGUGCGGGAGCAAUAAUGGUCACGUGUGGCCAGACGAGAGUACCGUACGAAUAAGCAUCGGCUAACUCCGUGCCAGCAGCCGCGGUAAUACGGCGGAUGCAAGCGUUUCCGGGUUUAUUGGGUUUAAAGGGUGCGUAAGAUGUGAGGUACGUCAGCGGGCAAAUGCCCCCGCUCAACGGGGUGAAGUGCUAUUGAUACUGCCGUGCUGGAGUGCGGAUGCGGUAGGAGGAAUGUGUGGUGUAGCGGUGAAAUGCAUAGAUAUCACACGGAACACCGAUUGCGAAGGCAUCUCACGAAUCCGCGAUUGACGCUGAUGCACGAAAGCGUGGGUAUCAAACAGGAUUAGAUACCCGAGUAGUC
This 459-nucleotide ribosomal RNA is filed under the name uncultured bacterium. RNAcentral describes it as "partial 16S ribosomal RNA". It matches the Rfam family "Bacterial small subunit ribosomal RNA", at positions 338 to 795 of the family's 1533-position model. The record is from RNAcentral.